Molecule: small nucleolar RNA, 62 nt
Filed under: Drosophila persimilis
Lineage: Eukaryota; Metazoa; Arthropoda; Insecta; Diptera; Drosophilidae
Also listed under: 1 other name
Description: snoRNA:GL27966
Source: RNAcentral
AGCGCGAGGAUGAACGUUUCUAAGUUGUCGACUGGGUAUAAUAAAAACCACUCAAAAAGAAA